UACGGAGGGUGCGAGCGUUAUCCGGAUUUACUGGGUUUAAAGGGUGCGUAGGUGGGUCUGUAAGUCAGUGGUGAAAUCUCCGAGCUUAACUCGGAAACUGCCAUUGAUACUAUAGGUCUUGAAUUAUCUGGAGGUAAGCGGAAUAUGUCAUGUAGCGGUGAAAUGCUUAGAUAUGACAUAGAACACCAAUUGCGAAGGCAGCUUACUACGGAUCGAUUGACACUGAGGCACGAAAGCGUGGGGAUCAAACAGG
This 253-nucleotide ribosomal RNA is filed under the name uncultured bacterium. RNAcentral describes it as "partial 16S ribosomal RNA". It matches the Rfam family "Bacterial small subunit ribosomal RNA", at positions 524 to 776 of the family's 1533-position model. The record is from RNAcentral.